AGUCAAUACCUAAUAGUUUAACUUGUAUAAAAUAAGAGGCUAGCCAUUUGGUAUUUGUGUAUGAAAGCCCCCAAAAUCAAAAUGUUUAUCCAUAGUCAACAAUCUAUUUGGUUUUAUAAAAACGAAAGGGCACGCAUUGGUAAGUGUGUUGGGAUGGAAAAGUAUCUUAAGUUUUAGUAUUUCAAAGCCAGCUUUAAUUUGGAACAGCACCACCAUCCAUAAAUUUCAAAACAAGUUAUCUUGUUUAUGAACUUAUAUGUUAUGAUUUGGUAUUGAGUUGUUAGUGUUACAUAUCAGUUUUCAUUUCCUCUACUAGAAAAUAGGUAAUUGAUAAAUUCUUUGAACAGAAGCAUCACUGCUUAUUAAAAAGUUAGAUAUAUAGAAUGAUUAAAAAUCCAGGUUUUCUAGGAUAUUUUUAUUCACAUAUAUUGAUUAAAUAGGGAAGGAAUUUUAUUCAAAGCUUUAAAGACUAGUCGUCAGUUUUUUUUUUUUUAAACCUCUGUUGUAAUUACAAAAAUACUGGAGAUCUUUUUUGCUAGUUAGGUGAUUGGUUUCAUGUACACAUCUAAAAGCUACUAUAUAGUAUAUUUACUCAAUGCAUUUAUUAAUCUUGUUGCCAGCAAGUCUGACAGCUUGGAAACAAGGGUUUUUUUGUUUUUUAAUAGACUUGAGCUGGUGGCUUACAUGUUCUGUAUUAGUGCUGCUUGAAGUUUUACAUGUUCAGAUCCCUGCUUUUCAGAGGCAAGGAUUAGUCCAUUUAGACUUGGUGACCCCUUUGAGAUUGUAGCAUAUGCUCCCUUAAGUCAGUAUGCUUAAACUUUAAAGUAUCUUACUUCUUAUUUUAAUAGUAAUAUCUUUACAGAUUUUUAGCAAUGUGUUGUAGAAAACACCUGCUCUUAGAAGCACAAGUUUUACUCACUGAGUCACUGUAAACAGAAAACACAGCAGCAUUUAUUUUAUUGCACAUUCAGAGUAAGCUGAAUAUGAAGGUGGUUAAUUCUGUCUGAUACCUGUGAAUUUCCUUUCAGAAUCACUUUAUGUCAAGAGCUAAACGUAAACUUUUUGUUGAAAAUAACAAUUUAUUUUCAUGCUCAUUUCCUAAAAGAUAAAAGCAAUCAAGUGGGAACCCCUUUAUAUGUUUCUUGGUUUCCCUUUUUCAUUAUCGUAAGAUAAUUCUUGUUUAAGAUUUUUGAAUGUUUAGAUAUCAUUAAGGUGAGGUUUUUAUUUGAUAAGUCUGCUGAGUCCUAUACUUGCUAGGAUACCUAUCUUGAUUUUCAAGAGUGGGUAUAAUGGCUUGAAUGCUGUUAAAGGUAAACGGCAUCAGUUGGAAUUUGUGGGACAUUUCCAGGUGGGCUAAAGGGAGGGUAUAGUUCUUAGUUGAAUACUAUUUGGGGUUGCUGGGAGAUCUUGAAUGUAAGAGCAGGUUCUAUAGUUCAUUUAUUCGCUUCAGGAUAUGUCAUUUGCAGAGUUGUGAAUGUAUUUGGUUUAUUUUUGGUAUGGGUUUGCAGAGAGAUGACUGUGCAUUCCUUCUGAUUGUUAUUUUUAUAAUUACUAGAGAUGACUGAAAUAGAAAAAAAGUGUUGUACUGAGUUUGCAAGUGGAGUGUAAGUAUUUUGUGUUGAAAUUUAAAAAAAUAUCUUAAGAGCAUUAGCAGGUGGAAGAAACCAGGUGUUAAAAAUUAAUAAUGCAAAGCU
RNAcentral lists this long non-coding RNA (1694 nucleotides) under Mus musculus (house mouse). RNAcentral's name for it is "long non-coding RNA chr6:67284839-67286533". The record is from RNAcentral. Lineage: Eukaryota; Metazoa; Chordata; Mammalia; Rodentia; Muridae.